RNAcentral lists this ribosomal RNA (765 nucleotides) under uncultured bacterium. RNAcentral describes it as "bacterial SSU rRNA". It matches the Rfam family "Bacterial small subunit ribosomal RNA", at positions 8 to 796 of the family's 1533-position model. The record is from RNAcentral.
AGAGUUUGAUCAUGGCUCAGAGUGAACGCUGGCGGCGUGCUUAACACAUGCAAGUCGAACGAUGAAGUCCUUCGGGAUGGAUUAGUGGCGCACGGGUGAGUAAUAUAUAGUUAAUGUACCCCAAAGACCGGGAUAGCCACUGGAAACGGUGAUUAAUACUGGAUACACCUUUCAAUCAUAUGGUUGAAAGGGAAAUGUUUUUCGCUUUGGGAUCAGACUAUAUCCUAUCAGUUAGUUGGUGAGGUAAGAGCUCACCAAGACGAUGACGGGUAGCGGGUUUGAGAGGAUGAUCCGCCACACUGGUACUGAGACACGGACCAGACUCCUACGGGAGGCAGCAGUGAGGAAUAUUGCACAAUGGGGGAAACCCUGAUGCAGCAACGCCGCGUGGAGGAUGACGCAUUUCGGUGUGUAAACUCCUUUUAUUAGGGAAGAUAAUGACGGUACCUAAUGAAUAAGCACCGGCUAACUCCGUGCCAGCAGCCGCGGUAAUACGGAGGGUGCAAGCGUUACUCGGAAUCACUGGGCGUAAAGGACGCGUAGGCGGGUUGCCAAGUCAGGUGUGAAAUCCUACAGCUUAACUGUAGAACUGCACUUGAAACUGGUAACCUAGAGUAUGGGAGGGGGAGAUGGAAUUAGUGGUGUAGGGGUAAAAUCCGUAGAUAUCACUAGGAAUACCGAAAGCGAAGGCGAUCUCCUGGAACAUAACUGACGCUAAGGCGUGAAAGCGUGGGGAGCAAACAGGAUUAGAUACCCUAGUAGUCC